Molecule: unclassified non-coding RNA, 197 nt
Filed under: plant metagenome
Description: partial contains small subunit ribosomal RNA, internal transcribed spacer 1, and 5.8S ribosomal RNA
Source: RNAcentral
UUUCCGUUGGUGAACCAGCGGAGGGAUCAUUACCGAGUGCAAACUCAUAACCCUUUGUGAACCUAUAUCUGUUGCUUCGGCGGCUCGCUCUCGGGCGAGCCCGCCGGUAAUAUCAGUAUCUCUGUUUGAACCCGACGAUACUUCUGAGUGUUCUUAGCGAACAGUUAAAACUUUUAACAACGGAUCUCUUGGCUCUA